Molecule: long non-coding RNA, 220 nt
Filed under: Carica papaya (papaya)
Lineage: Eukaryota; Viridiplantae; Streptophyta; Magnoliopsida; Brassicales; Caricaceae
Description: long non-coding RNA (CPAP_LNC015871)
Source: RNAcentral
CGGGGUAUGGGGACGGCCCUGGAAUAUGAUUUCAAGUGUUAAGGGUUAACGGGUAGCGGGACCCCUAUGGAUCCCCAUGGAUACUAGUGGGAUGGUAAAAGAGGAUUAAUAUGUUGUGUAACGAUUGAAUUACGAAAGGCUUGAUAAGUAUUAUGUUAUACAGUUUAUAUAUGAUUUCAUGAUGAUGAUGAUGUUAUUGCUUUCGUACACUGUUUUAUGG